GAUGAACGCUAGCUACAGGCUUAACACAUGCAAGUCGAGGGGAAACGAUAGAGAAAGCUUGCUUUUUCUAGGCGUCGACCGGCGCACGGGUGAGUAACGCGUAUCCAACCUGCCCAUCACUUGGGGAUAACCUUGCGAAAGUAAGACUAAUACCCAAUGACGUCUCUAGAAGACAUCUGAAAGAGAUUAAAGAUUUAUCGGUGAUGGAUGGGGAUGCGUCUGAUUAGCUUGUUGGCGGGGUAACGGCCCACCAAGGCGACGAUCAGUAGGGGUUCUGAGAGGAAGGUCCCCCCACAUUGGAACUGAGACACGGUCCAAACUCCUACGGGAGCAGCAGUGAGGAAUAUUGGUCAAUGGGCGAGAGCCUGAACCAGCCAAGUAGCGUGCAGGAUGACGGCCCUAUGGGUUGUAAACUGCUUUUAUAAGGGAUAAAGUGGGAGUCGUGUGGAUUUUUGAUGUACCAUAUGAAUAAGGAUCGGCUAACUCCGUGCCAGCAGCCGACGG
This 504-nucleotide ribosomal RNA is filed under the name uncultured bacterium. RNAcentral's name for it is "bacterial SSU rRNA". It matches the Rfam family "Bacterial small subunit ribosomal RNA", at positions 28 to 520 of the family's 1533-position model. The record is from RNAcentral.